CUCGUAGGUGGCCAACUAAGUCAGACGUGAAAUCCCUCGGCUUAACCGGGGAACUGCGUCUGAUACUGGAUGGCUUGAGUUUGGGAGAGGGACGCGGAAUUCCAGGUGUAGCGGUGAAAUGCGUAGAUAUCUGGAGGAACACCGGUGGCGAAGGCGGCGUCCUGGACCAACACUGACACUGAGGAGCGAAAGCCAGGGGAAGGCAAACG
This 209-nucleotide ribosomal RNA is filed under the name uncultured bacterium. RNAcentral's name for it is "partial 16S ribosomal RNA". It matches the Rfam family "Bacterial small subunit ribosomal RNA", at positions 568 to 774 of the family's 1533-position model. The record is from RNAcentral.